UACGAAGGGGGCUAGCGUUGUUCGGAAUUACUGGGCGUAAAGCGCACGUAGGCGGACUAUUAAGUCAGGGGUGAAAUCCCGGGGCUCAACCCCGGAACUGCCUUUGAUACUGCUAGUCUCGAGUCCGGAAGAGGUGAGUGGAAUUCCGAGUGUAGAGGUGAAAUUCGUAGAUAUUCGGAGGAACACCGGUGGCGAAGGCGGCUCACUGGUCCGGUACUGACGCUGAGGUGCGAAAGCGUGGGGAGCAAACAGG
RNAcentral lists this ribosomal RNA (253 nucleotides) under uncultured bacterium. Its description in RNAcentral is "partial 16S ribosomal RNA". It matches the Rfam family "Bacterial small subunit ribosomal RNA", at positions 524 to 776 of the family's 1533-position model. The record is from RNAcentral.